GAUGAACGCUGGCGGCGUGCCUAAUACAUGCAAGUCGAGCGAACAGACGAGGAGCUUGCUCCUCUGACGUUAGCGGCGGACGGGUGAGUAACACGUGGAUAACCUACCUAUAAGACUGGGAUAACUUCGGGAAACCGGAGCUAAUACCGGAUAAUAUAUUGAACCGCAUGGUUCAAUAGUGAAAGACGGUUUUGCUGUCACUUAUAGAUGGAUCCGCGCCGCAUUAGCUAGUUGGUAAGGUAACGGCUUACCAAGGCGACGAUGCGUAGCCGACCUGAGAGGUUGACAGCCAACCCUGUACUUGAGACUAGACCCAGUCUCCUCGGGAGGGCCACAGCAGGUAUUCGCCACAAAAGGCCAAAAGGGUACCGGACCAAGCCCGCAUAAAGUGGAGAGGUUUGCGAAAGGUAAAACUUUUUAUUAGGGGAAGACAAAAUUGGGAGGUAACUAUGGCCCUUUUGACGGUACCAAAGCAAAAAACCACGGCUAACAACCU
RNAcentral lists this ribosomal RNA (496 nucleotides) under uncultured bacterium. RNAcentral's name for it is "partial 16S ribosomal RNA". It matches the Rfam family "Bacterial small subunit ribosomal RNA", at positions 28 to 506 of the family's 1533-position model. The record is from RNAcentral.